Molecule: ribosomal RNA, 468 nt
Filed under: uncultured bacterium
Lineage: Bacteria
Description: partial 16S ribosomal RNA
Rfam family: Bacterial small subunit ribosomal RNA
Source: RNAcentral
GACGAACGCUGGCGGCGUGCUUAACACAUGCAAGUCGAACGGAAAGGCCCUGCUUUUGUGGGGUGCUCGAGUGGCGAACGGGUUGGUAACACGUGAGUAACCUGCCCUUGACUUUGGGAUAACUUCAGGAAACUGGGGCUAAUACCGGAUAGGAGCUCCUGCUGCAUGGUGGGGGUUGGAAAGUUUCGGCGGUUGGGGAUGGACUCGCGGCUUAUCAGCUUGUUGGUGGGGUAGUGGCUUACCAAGGCUUUGACGGGUAGCCGGCCUGAGAGGGUGACCGGCAACAUUGGGAAUGAGAUACGGCCCAGACUCAUACGGGAGGCAGCAGUGGGGAAGAUUGCACAAUAGGCGGAAACCUGAAGCAGCAACGCCGAGUGCGGGAUGACGGCCUUCGGGUUGUAAACCGAUUUCGCCAGUGACGAAGAGUGAGUGACGGUAAUGGGUAAAGAAGCACCGGCUAACUACGUG